GACGAACGCUGGCGGCGUGCUUAACACAUGCAAGUCGAACGGAAAGGCCCCUUUGGGGGUACUCGAGUGGCGAACGGGUGAGUAACACGUGAGUAACCUGCCCUUGACUUCGGGAUAACUUCAGGAAACUGGGGCUAAUACCGGAUAGGAAUCCUUGCUGCAUGGUGGGGGUUGGAAAGCUUCGGCGGUUUUGGAUGGACUCGCGGCUUAUCAGCUUGUUGGUGGGGUAGUGGCUUACCAAGGCUUUGACGGGUAGCCGGCCUGAGAGGGCGACCGGCCACAUUGGGACUGAGAUACGGCCCAGACUCCUACGGGAGGCAGCAGUGGGGAAUAUUGCACAAUCGGCGGAAGCCUGAUGCAGCAACGCCGCGUGCGGGAUGACGGCCUUCGGGUUGUAAACCGCUUUCAGCAGGGGCGAAGCUUGUGGUGACGGUACCUGCAGAAGAAGCACCGGCUAACUACGUG
RNAcentral lists this ribosomal RNA (465 nucleotides) under uncultured bacterium. Its description in RNAcentral is "partial 16S ribosomal RNA". It matches the Rfam family "Bacterial small subunit ribosomal RNA", at positions 28 to 507 of the family's 1533-position model. The record is from RNAcentral.